Molecule: ribosomal RNA, 448 nt
Filed under: uncultured bacterium
Lineage: Bacteria
Description: bacterial SSU rRNA
Rfam family: Bacterial small subunit ribosomal RNA
Source: RNAcentral
UCCAGACUCCUACGGGAGGCAGCAGUGGGGAAUAUUGGGCAAUGGGCGCAAGCCUGACCCAGCAACGCCGCGUGAAGGAAGAAGGCUUUCGGGUUGUAAACUUCUUUUCUCAGGGACGAAGCAAGUGACGGUACCUGAGGAAUAAGCCACGGCUAACUACGUGCCAGCAGCCGCGGUAAUACGUAGGUGGCAAGCGUUAUCCGGAUUUACUGGGUGUAAAGGGCGUGUAGGCGGGAAAGCAUGUCUGAUGUGAAAACCAGGGGCUCAACCUGUGGCCUGCAUUUGAAACUGUUUGUCUUGAGUACUGGAGAGGCAGACGGAAUUCCUAGUGUAGCGGUGAAAUGCGUAGAUAUUAGGAGGAACACCAGUGGCGAAGGCGGUCUGCUGGACAGCAACUGACGCUGAGGCGCGAAAGCGUGGGGAGCAAACAGGAUUAGAUACCCCAGUA